Salvelinus namaycush (lake trout) is the source of this 379-nucleotide long non-coding RNA. RefSeq lists it as uncharacterized. The transcript is spliced from 3 exons. Lineage: Eukaryota; Metazoa; Chordata; Actinopteri; Salmoniformes; Salmonidae. The record is from RefSeq and is a predicted model, not a curated record.
GCAUUUUGUACAAAUUGGAGAUUUUUCAGAUUGGUAGCGGUACAGCCUGAUAGAAGGACAUUACACUAGUCUAGACGGGAUGUAACGAAGCUGCGAUCCUAAAUCGGGUCAACAACUAAUGGGCAAACCCAGAACCCCAGCAGGGGAUUUCGUCCAUUAAAGUUCCCUGGUUUUCCUGGGCCCUUGUUCACCAUUGCCUGUUCUCCUCUUGAUCUCCACACGACGCUCAGUCAAGCCACAUCAAACGAGCUGCCGAGGUCCCCACUGGUGUGCAUACGGAGAUCACUCGAACUAGAACCACCCAAGUCUGGCAUAAGGCAUACUUAAAACAACUUUUUUAACUGCUCACUGGAAAAUGUAUGCAUUAAAGAAGGAAAUA